RNAcentral lists this ribosomal RNA (301 nucleotides) under uncultured bacterium. Its description in RNAcentral is "partial 16S ribosomal RNA". It matches the Rfam family "Bacterial small subunit ribosomal RNA", at positions 509 to 807 of the family's 1533-position model. The record is from RNAcentral.
CAGUCGCCGCGGGAAUACGUAGGGUGCGAGCGUUAAUCGGAAUUACUGGGCGUAAAGCGUGCGCAGGCGGUUGUGCAAGACAGAUGUGAGAUCCCCGAGCUUAACUUGGGAACUGCAUUUGUGACUGCACGGCUAGAGUGUGUCAGAGGGGGGCAGAAUUCCACGUGUAGCAGUGAAAUGCGUAGAUAUGUGGAGGAAUACCGAUGGCGAAGGCAGCCCCCUGGGAUAACACUGACGCUCAUGCACGAAAGCGUGGGGAGCAAACAGGAUUAGAUACCCCCGUAGUCCCUGUCUCUUAUAC